RNAcentral lists this ribosomal RNA (334 nucleotides) under uncultured Anaerolineaceae bacterium. RNAcentral's name for it is "bacterial SSU rRNA". It matches the Rfam family "Bacterial small subunit ribosomal RNA", at positions 1035 to 1382 of the family's 1533-position model. Lineage: Bacteria; Bacillati; Chloroflexota; Anaerolineae; Anaerolineales; Anaerolineaceae. The record is from RNAcentral.
CAGGUGUUGCAUGGCUGUCGUCAGCUCGUGUCGUGAGAUGUUCGGUUAAGUCCGCUAACGAGCGCAACCCUCGUCGUAUGUUAUAUGUGUCAUACGAGACUGCCGGUAAAAAGACCGGAGGAAGGUGAGGAUGAUGUCAAGUCAGCAUGACCUUUAUAUCCAGGGCUACACACACGCUACAAUGGUCUGUACAAUGGGUAGCCAAGCCGCGAGGCGGAGCCAAUCCUGAAAGCAGGCCUCAGUUCAGAUUGCAGUCUGCAACUCGACUGCAUGAAGCCGGAGUUGCUAGUAACCGCAGGUCAGCAAUACUGCGGUGAAUACGUUCCCGGGUCUU